Molecule: long non-coding RNA, 259 nt
Organism: Cyprinus carpio (common carp)
Lineage: Eukaryota; Metazoa; Chordata; Actinopteri; Cypriniformes; Cyprinidae
Exons: 4
Source: RefSeq, a predicted model, not a curated record
AUUUCAAGAACCUACAAGAAGAAAGGUGGUUUAUCGCGUUGUCCAGGCCUGUGCAAUUCUCUGCCGGGAGGUUUGAAACAUGACCAACUUGCUACAACACAAAAGGUCUGGACUAUGGAGUGCAGCAUUACUUGUUUGGUCAUCUACAUUCAGAUGAAAACACCACACUCCUCUCUAAUUCAAGAUUUCAAGAUUUUCAUCGCAAGGAGAGUUAGCAUUAAAAUGUAUGUGUCACUGACCAAUAACAUAGAGAUGCCAG